UCCCGACUGGCGCGCUGCUCCACGCGCCUGCCCCGCCGCCAACUUUGCCAAACCUGCGGGUGGCCGCUGUCCAGCGCCCCCGGGCCGCGGGGAGAGCGGGCGCGGCCCCGGGGCGGCGUGGAGAAGGGCGGGGCGAGAGCGCCGGACGCCUGCCCCCCGGGACGGGCACUGGACGAAGCGGGAGGAGAAAGGCAAGACUAGCCGCUCGGGUGAGGACGAGAGGAUAGAGGGCGAGACGCUUGUUCUUCUGGAUCGAUACUAUUCUUCCAUACAUUGAUCCAGACUAGCCAUAGGAACCAGUCAAGAUAUUUUGCCACAAGAUCUAGGACAAGAGGAUUUACCUACUAUUGCCCACCUUGCAAAUCUCCUAGGGACCUUUCACCUGCUUCUGCUACUGCAAAUGAUUGGACAUCCAUUUACAUUUCCUCUUCUUCAUGUGUGGAAGGAAACUUUUGUUCACUGUGCUUCAGGCUGCACCUGGCCUGAGAGUGGGUCCUUGAAUUCCCCUUGUACCAUUCCAACUUGCCAAGGUGGUUAUGAGACCUGAGGGAGGUGUUUAGGCGUGGACUUUGGGCCAGGUGUGUAAAUCCAUUUGGUACCAACUUUGGGCCCCAAGGAUAAGGGCAUGUGUAGCUGCACCAGAAGAGAGGGGAACAGUGAAAACUAAAAUUUCACCCUCUGUGAUGAUCUUCACCACCACCAGUACCAACAAUGCUGUAAGUACAGAGGAUUCACCUACCCAGUCGUUUUUCCUCUCCAUCCGGGCCCUCUGCAAGAGUGAGCCAGUGCUCAGAGAUGGUGGAGGGUAUGGCUGGUGACUCAGUCUCAACUGUGUCUCAACUGUGUCCAAAGGUCUAGGGAGAAGUCUGCUCACCAGUAGCUAUAUCCUCUCUGGGAAGGCACAGCGCCCUAAAGUGGUGAGGCUGUAGGCCUGUGGGAACUGGGGCCUCCUGCCCCUCUUUUUAUUUUUAUUUAAUACUCACAAACUUCUCUUCAUCCCCCCCCUUUUUUUUCCCUUACAGUUUCUGAAAGGACCGAAGUAACACCAAGAACUCCCAGAUGAAGAGGACCUUCCUGGAUCUGUAACUGGGAUUAACCAGUUCUUUACUGGGAGAGAAAGUUUCAACUAAUCCUCAGGAUAAAAGCAAACAGGCCUGUGACUGUCCCUUGAACACUGACGGUGUAAACAAGCUUCUGGCUCCUCCAGGUCAAGCAGAGGAACACUUUUCAUUAGAAUGUUGGGUUUCUUCUUUGUUAUUCAAACAUACACCCACACACAUCCCCUUGUCCCUCCCUAAUGAACAAACCUCAACAGAUGGAGAGCCUAGGCUCCCAAGACUUAUGGCUGAGAAGAUGCACUUCACUCAAGGGUGGGUUGGCUUGUACAGAAUGGGGGAGAGAGAAGAAAUGGGAAGCUAGUAUAGGUAAUUACUGUCUUUUAAUACUCCUUACAGAUAGAAAUCCAAAAAAUCCAGUUCCGCAAGGUUAGCACCCUCUGGGGCCUGGGAAACCGAUUUGGCUGAUGUGUCUGUGAUAGGGACUAGGCUUGGGGCUGCACCAGGGGGGAAGUACUCACUCUAUGUUCUAUCAUUCUCUCUCAUUUGAAAGCCUGUACAAAGAAAUGGUACAAAUGGAUGGUUAACUUAAUGAUUCCAUCAGAGGCGGAUUUUUCUCUGUCAGGUCCCGGGAUGAGGCUGAGGUCUGAAAGCCAGGAGGCAGAACAUUUACUUAAUCGCCCUUUCUUACCGCCUUUCCAGGGGCCAGGACUGCUCUUCAGACCUUUCCUCUGCCACGUCCCCGUACCCCUGGCUAGCUCAGUUGGGUCUUCUUACCCCACUCCUGGCUGGGCCUGAGUUUCUCCUGGUAGCCACGGCAAGGUCUCCUUAUGGCUAAAUCUUUUCCCACUCCCACCUCCCAUUCUACUGCGGGCCAUUUUUGCAGCCUCGUCUCUACCCAGCUUUAAUUAACAUUUGAUUGCCUGGACAGAACAACCAGGGGCUCCCAAACCGCUGCCACCCCCAUCCAUGGACCCUUUCUUCAGGCCUCACGAUGAUCCCCCACAACCUCGCUGAUCCCUCCCCUCCCCCAGCCCUCCCCGCCGCCUCUAUAGGAAAAAAAAAAAAAGCCGAGCUGGCCAAGGCCUGAGCCUGAGAGCCACUUCCUCCUCUGGAGCAGCAAACGGGGUAAACCUCCCAGAGACCAAUGCCCAAAGCGAGGUCCGGCCCUUCCCCACCUCCAGGCGUAAGCCCAACAGUGCCAUUGUGAGGCCUUUCCCGACGCGGAGCCCUUGGGGAAGCUGCGCACACAAAGGCGAAGCCGCUCCUGGAAGCCCGGCUUGCUCGGCGCCCUCAACCUAGCGCCGGACAGUCGAGGCCUUGUGCGCUCCCCCAUUGUACCCCGUGCGGCCGUCUCGGGCAAAAGUCACGGGCUGGGGUGGAGGUUUCCUUCUCCUGCCAGCUUGGCCCCUUCCCGCUCCAGGUCACACACUCCCCCCACUUCCCCGGGAAGGAGAGGCCUGGGCCCAGAGCGCCAUUGCCCAGCCGGUGCUCCCCUCCCCCACGCUCUUCUUUCUGCUUUCCCGAGGCCCGGGAGGGAGGAGGCGGGCGCCUCCGCCGAUAGAGCAGCUAUUGUGACCUUCCCUCGCCGAGCGGGAACCCAACCGAGUGUACCGCUGGCGGGGGAGGAGGCGACUGUAUGCGCAGACCUCGGGGUGCAGAGGGGGGUGGUACUGGGAAAUAAAUAAAGGUUUGCAACCUUGGGCAGUUGGGCCCUUCAGAGGGCGUUUGGUUGUGUUUAGACUCCGGUGCUUCCUAACACUAAUUGCGGGCUCAAAAGGAGCAGAAUUUAUGGCGAAGGCCAAGGCGGCUUGUUUAUAAUUUAUGAAGUUUUAAAUGGCUGUGCUGCAGGCCCUCCUCUCGCCCUGGCCGGCGGCCGCGCGGGAAGCGCCUCCCCAGACUCGCCACCGCGCCCUCCUCCCCGCGCCAGGAGCGGCGGAGUGUGCCCAUCACAUGACACGCCGAGGGCAGGAAAGAAUCCAAGCCAUUCUAGGAAGCCUCGGGGAAACCUGUCACCAAAGGUGAGAGAAAGUCAAUUUGUCCCAAGCGAACUCCCCCACCCCGUUAGAGAGGGGUGCCUCCGGGUAACUGUCCGGAGAGGGAGCCCCCGACCCCGCACCUCUCUGGAGCAUCAGUGUGAGAGGAAGCUGAUGUCAGCCGGCCUAGACACCGUUUAAAGUCUAAUCCAUGAGACCUAAGCCGCAGAUGACACUUGGGGCCUUGCAGACACCCGCAGACUCAGCAGAUACUCCUGCGGUAACACACCGCGCUGGAAAACGCCUGGAGCCAUAAUGCAUUAUGUAUUUUUAUUAUUAUUUAUGGUAGGAAGAGGAGAUGAGGGAAAACCGGGCUGAAUCUAAACAGCCUGAUAAUUCAUCUAUUUAAUAUUUAGCCAGUUAAGAAAGGUUGUUGUAAUCCCUGCAAGGCAGCAAGCUCUUCUUUGACUUCCCUAAUAGCUUAAAAAAUAAUUUCUUACAAGACAAUUAGAAAUUCUGCCUAUGGAUGCAAAUUUCAUAGAAAACAAUUUUAAACCUUGCAAAUGGGUAAAAUAUCCCUUCAGUUGAAGUCAUUUAUUCUGUUGAUACACUUGUACAACAUGUAUACUCUAAACCUGCUCAGAUAAAGUGAAAUUUUGCAAAAGGAUAAUCCCUACCACCCCCGAUCUAACAUGCCAUUUUAAAAACAAAGGAACAAGGGAACUAGAUAUUAUUUGAGCUAUCAUUAUUUAGCGAAACACAAACAUCCAAAUAGAAACGAUUGUUGUUCCACCAGAAGAUUAGAAGUUAAAUUAUUUCCACACAAUGGGAAUUUCACCUCGUGUCACCGGGGGGAUGUAGUAGGAGCUGUAUUAUUUGUCAAACCGAAUAGAGAUGCGUGGGCUGACUUUGCUGAAAUACAAAAGACUUGAACCUUAUCUGAAGGCGCUUUCCUUUCCAAGUGUCUCCUCCUAGAGAAGCGGGUGGACAUUGUCCACCCCUAGCCGAAGCCAGGCUAAUAUUUACAAAGUGGAUAUAAAUCCUUGAAGACAUUUUUGCCCGUGUUGUACAAAGAAACCGGAAUAAACAAGGUGUUUAUACUUGUUGUGUUCCAUUAAUUAAACUUUUAUUACUUUACA
Molecule: long non-coding RNA, 4170 nt
Organism: Neofelis nebulosa (Clouded leopard)
Lineage: Eukaryota; Metazoa; Chordata; Mammalia; Carnivora; Felidae
Exons: 2
Source: RefSeq, a predicted model, not a curated record